Molecule: ribosomal RNA, 163 nt
Filed under: uncultured bacterium
Lineage: Bacteria
Description: partial 16S ribosomal RNA
Rfam family: Bacterial small subunit ribosomal RNA
Source: RNAcentral
UAGGAAUCUUCCACAAUGGAACGAAAGUCUGAUGGAGCAACGCCGCGUGAGUGAAGAAGGGUUUCGGCUCGUAAAAGCUCUGUUGGUAGUGAAGAAAGAUAGAGGUAGUAACUGGCCUUUAUUUGACGGUAAUUACUUAGAAAGUCACGGCUAACUACGUGCC